RNAcentral lists this ribosomal RNA (424 nucleotides) under uncultured bacterium. RNAcentral describes it as "bacterial SSU rRNA". It matches the Rfam family "Bacterial small subunit ribosomal RNA", at positions 355 to 776 of the family's 1533-position model. The record is from RNAcentral.
UGAGGAAUAUUGGUCAAUGGGCGCAAGCCUGAACCAGCCAUGCCGCGUGCAGGAAGAAUGCCCUACGGGUUGUAAACUGCUUUUAUUUGGGAAUAAACCUCUUUACGUGUAGAGAGCUGAAGGUACCAAAUGAAUAAGCACCGGCUAACUCCGUGCCAGCAGCCGCGGUAAUACGGAGGGUGCAAGCGUUAUCCGGAAUCAUUGGGUUUAAAGGGUCCGCAGGCGGACCUAUAAGUCAGUGGUGAAAGCCUACAGCUUAACUGGAGAACUGCCAUUGAUACUGUAGGUCUUGAAUUCGGUCGAAGUGGGCGGAAUGUGUAGUGUAGCGGUGAAAUGCAUAGAUAUUACACAGAACACCAAUAGCGAAGGCAGCUCACUAGGCCUGGAUUGACGCUCAGGGACGAAAGCGUGGGGAUCAAACAGG